RNAcentral lists this ribosomal RNA (492 nucleotides) under uncultured bacterium. Its description in RNAcentral is "partial 16S ribosomal RNA". It matches the Rfam family "Bacterial small subunit ribosomal RNA", at positions 29 to 507 of the family's 1533-position model. The record is from RNAcentral.
AGUGAACGCUGGCGGUAGGCCUAACACAUGCAAGUCGAACGGCAGCACAGUAAGAGCUUGCUCUUACGGGUUGCGAGUGGCGGACGGGUGAGGAAUACAUCGGAAUCUACUUUUUCGUGGGGGAUAACGUAGGGAAACUUACGCUAAUACCGCAUACGACCUACGGGUGAAAGCAGGGGAUCUUCGGACCUUGCGCGAUUGAAUGAGCCGAUGUCGGAGUAGCUAGUUGGCGGGGUAAAGGCCCACCAAGGCGACGAUCCGUAGCUGGUCUGAUAGGAUGAUCAGCCACACUGGAACUAAGAGAAGGUCCCAACUCCUAAGGGAGGCACCAGUGGGAAAUAUUGGACAAUGGGCGCAAGACUGAUCCAGACAUACCGCGUGGGUGAUGAAGGCCUUCGGGUUGUAAAGCCCUUUUGUUGGGAAAGAAAAGAAGCAGGUUAAUACCCCGCUGUUCUGACGGUACCCAAAGAAUAAGCACCGGCUAACUUCGUG